RNAcentral lists this ribosomal RNA (1456 nucleotides) under uncultured organism. RNAcentral describes it as "SSU rRNA". It matches the Rfam family "Bacterial small subunit ribosomal RNA". The record is from RNAcentral.
GGCGGCAUGCCUUACACAUGCAAGUCGAACGGCAGCACGGGUGCUUGCACCUGGUGGCGAGUGGCGAACGGGUGAGUAAUACAUCGGAACAUGUCCUGUAGUGGGGGAUAGCCCGGCGAAAGCCGGAUUAAUACCGCAUACGAUCUACGGAUGAAAGCGGGGGACCUUCGGGCCUCGCGCUAUAGGGUUGGCCGAUGGCUGAUUAGCUAGUUGGUGGGGUAAAGGCCUACCAAGGCGACGAUCAGUAGCUGGUCUGAGAGGACGACCAGCCACACUGGGGCUGAGACACGGCCCAGACUCCUACGGGAGGCGGCAGUGGGGAAUUUUGGACAAUGGGCGAAAGCCUGAUCCAGCAAUGCCGCGUGUGUGAAGAAGGCCUUCGGGUUGUAAAGCACUUUUGUCCGGAAAGAAAUCCUUGGCUCUAAUACAGUCGGGGGAUGACGGUACCGGAAGAAUAAGCACCGGCUAACUACGUGCCAGCAGCCGCGGUAAUACGUAGGGUGCGAGCGUUAAUCGGAAUUACUGGGCGUAAAGCGUGCGCAGGCGGUUUGCUAAGACCGAUGUGAAAUCCCCGGGCUCAACCUGGGAACUGCAUUGGUGACUGGCAGGCUAGAGUAUGGCAGAGGGGGGUAGAAUUCCACGUGUAGCAGUGAAAUGCGUAGAGAUGUGGAGGAAUACCGAUGGCGAAGGCAGCCCCCUGGGCCAAUACUGACGCUCAUGCACGAAAGCGUGGGGAGCAAACAGGAUUAGAUACCCUGGUAGUCCACGCCCUAAACGAUGUCAACUAGUUGUUGGGGAUUCAUUUCCUUAGUAACGUAGCUAACGCGUGAAGUUGACCGCCUGGGGAGUACGGUCGCAAGAUUAAAACUCAAAGGAAUUGACGGGGACCCGCACAAGCGGUGGAUGAUGUGGAUUAAUUCGAUGCAACGCGAAAAACCUUACCUACCCUUGACAUGGUCGGAAUCCCGCUGAGAGGUGGGAGUGCUCGAAAGAGAACCGGCGCACAGGUGCUGCAUGGCUGUCGUCAGCUCGUGUCGUGAGAUGUUGGGUUAAGUCCCGCAACGAGCGCAACCCUUGUCCUUAGUUGCUACGCAAGAGCACUCUAAGGAGACUGCCGGUGACAAACCGGAGGAAGGUGGGGAUGACGUCAAGUCCUCAUGGCCCUUAUGGGUAGGGCUUCACACGUCAUACAAUGGUCGGAACAGAGGGUUGCCAACCCGCGAGGGGGAGCUAAUCCCAGAAAACCGAUCGUAGUCCGGAUUGCACUCUGCAACUCGAGUGCAUGAAGCUGGAAUCGCUAGUAAUCGCGGAUCAGCAUGCCGCGGUGAAUACGUUCCCGGGUCUUGUACACACCGCCCGUCACACCAUGGGAGUGGGUUUUACCAGAAGUGGCUAGUCUAACCGCAAGGAGGACGGUCACCACGGUAGGAUUCAUGACUGGGGUGAAGUCAUAACA